RNAcentral lists this ribosomal RNA (433 nucleotides) under uncultured bacterium. RNAcentral describes it as "partial 16S ribosomal RNA". It matches the Rfam family "Bacterial small subunit ribosomal RNA", at positions 29 to 507 of the family's 1533-position model. The record is from RNAcentral.
AACGAACGCUGGCGGCAUGCCUAACACAUGCAAGUCGAACGAGAACUUCGGGUCUAGUGGCGCACGGGUGCGUAACGCGUGGGAACCUGCCCUUAGGUUCGGAAUAACUCCCCGAAAGGGGUGCUAAUACCGGAUAAUGUCUUCGGCCCAAAGAUUUAUCGCCUUUGGUUGGGCCCGCGUUGGAUUAGCUUGUUGGUAGGGUAAAAGCCUACCAAGGCGACGAUCCAUAGCUGGUCUGAGAGGAUGAUCAGCCACACUGGGACUGAGACACGGCCCAGACUCCUACGGGAGGCAGCAGUGGGGAAUAUUGGACAAUGGGCGAAAGCCUGAUCCAGCAAUGCCGCGUGAGUGAUGAAGGCCUUAGGGUUGUAAAGCUCUUUUACCCGGGAUGAUAAUGACAGUACCGGGAGAAUAAGCUCCGGCUAACUCCGUG